AACCAAAUCACCCUGAAAACACCUGUUCUCGUCUGACCACCGAAGUUAAGCAGUGUCGAGCCUGGUCAGUAUUUAGAUGGGGGACCGUUUGAGAACACCGGUGCUGUAA
This is a non-coding RNA of Acanthosepion pharaonis, 109 nucleotides long. Lineage: Eukaryota; Metazoa; Mollusca; Cephalopoda; Sepiida; Sepiidae. The record is from the annotation of a GenBank genome assembly.